UCACUUCAGAAGUGUGCAGACUAAAACUGGAACCAUAGAAGGAAGCUCAGCAUGGCCCCUGCACAAGGAUGAAACAUCCUACACCCUUAAAAACUCAAUUUGUUU
Small nuclear RNA from Cricetulus griseus (Chinese hamster), 105 nucleotides. The record is from Ensembl. NCBI's taxonomy places the organism in Eukaryota, Metazoa, Chordata, Mammalia, Rodentia, Cricetidae.